This is a non-coding RNA of Podarcis lilfordi (Lilford's wall lizard), 69 nucleotides long. The record is from the annotation of a GenBank genome assembly. Lineage: Eukaryota; Metazoa; Chordata; Lepidosauria; Squamata; Lacertidae.
GCUGUAGCGCCGCGGUAGGGCGUCUGCUCAGCAUGCGGAAGAUCUCAAGUUCAAUCCUUGACAUCUGUG